This 231-nucleotide ribosomal RNA is filed under the name uncultured bacterium. RNAcentral describes it as "partial 16S ribosomal RNA". It matches the Rfam family "Bacterial small subunit ribosomal RNA", at positions 91 to 339 of the family's 1533-position model. The record is from RNAcentral.
CCUAGCGGCAGACGGGUGCGUAACAUGUGGGAAUCUGCCUUUUGGUUCGGAACAACACGGGGAAACCUGUGCUAAUACCGGAUAAGUCCUUACGGAGAAAGUUUUAAUGCCAAAAGAUGAGCCCGCAUUUGAUUAGCUAGUUGGUAAGGUAAUGGCUUACCAAGGCAACGAUCAAUAGCUGAUUUGAGAGGAUGAUCAGCCACAUUGGGACUGAGACACGGCCCAGACUCC